CCUACGGGGCGCAGCAGGGGCGAAAACUUUACAAUGCGGGAAACCGUGAUAAGGGGACACCGAGUGUCAGCAUCAUAUGCUGGCUGUCCAGGUGUGUAAAAUACACCUGUUAGCAAGGGCCGGGCAAGACCGGUGCCAGCCGCCGCGGUAACACCGGCGGUCCGAGUGGUGAUCGUGAUUAUUGGGUCUAAAGGGUCCGUAGCCGGUUUGGUCAGUCCUCCGGGAAAUCUGAUAGCUCAACUAUUAGGCUAUCGGGGGGAUACUGCCAGGCUUGGAACCGGGAGAGGUAAGAAGUACUACAGGGGUAGGAGUGAAAUCUUGUAAUCCCUGGGGGGACACCUGGGGCGAA
This 349-nucleotide ribosomal RNA is filed under the name uncultured Methanosarcina sp. RNAcentral describes it as "bacterial SSU rRNA". It matches the Rfam family "Archaeal small subunit ribosomal RNA", at positions 322 to 670 of the family's 1478-position model. Lineage: Archaea; Methanobacteriati; Methanobacteriota; Methanomicrobia; Methanosarcinales; Methanosarcinaceae. The record is from RNAcentral.